AUACUUACCUGGCAGGGGAGAUUACCAUGAUCACCGAAGGUGGUUUUCCCAGGGCGAGGCUUAUCCAUUGCACUCCGGAUGUGCUGACCCCUGCGAUUUCCCCAAAUGUGGGAAAUCGACUGCAUAAUUUGUGGUAGUGGGGGACUGCGUUCGCGCUUUCCCCUG
This 165-nucleotide small nuclear RNA is filed under the name Canis lupus dingo (dingo). RNAcentral's name for it is "U1 spliceosomal RNA (ENSCAFG00020023564.1)". It matches the Rfam family "U1 spliceosomal RNA". From Rfam's summary of the family: U1 is a small nuclear RNA (snRNA) component of the spliceosome (involved in pre-mRNA splicing). Its 5' end forms complementary base pairs with the 5' splice junction, thus defining the 5' donor site of an intron. Lineage: Eukaryota; Metazoa; Chordata; Mammalia; Carnivora; Canidae. The record is from RNAcentral.